AGAGCGAACGCUGGCGGCGUGCUUAACACAUGCAAGUCGAGUGCGCGCCUGUAGCAAUACAGGUGGCGCACGGCGCACGGGUGCGUAACACGUGGGUAAUCUGCCCUUCGAUGGGGAAUAACCUCGCGAAAGCGAGGCUAAUUCCGCAUAACAUUCCGAUGGUUCCGAUCAAUGGACUCAAAGCCGUAAGGCGUCGGAGGAGGAGCCCCGCGCACGAUUAGCUAGUUGGUGAGGUAACGGCUCACCAAGGCUUUGAUCGUUAGC
This 264-nucleotide ribosomal RNA is filed under the name uncultured bacterium. RNAcentral's name for it is "partial small subunit ribosomal RNA". It matches the Rfam family "Bacterial small subunit ribosomal RNA", at positions 26 to 287 of the family's 1533-position model. The record is from RNAcentral.